This 441-nucleotide long non-coding RNA is filed under the name Anser cygnoides (Swan goose). RNAcentral describes it as "lncRNA (ENSACDG00005012032.1)". Lineage: Eukaryota; Metazoa; Chordata; Aves; Anseriformes; Anatidae. The record is from RNAcentral.
UUAACUUUAUAUUUGAAGAGAAGCAACAGCAUGUAGAACAGUUUAGAGGCAGAAAUCCUAAAUCAACUAGAACGCAGCAGCUUUAGAAGAGGUUUCCAGAGUUUGAAAGCUAGUCCCAAGGACAUUUGCUGGAAAGACCAAUGAAUGACUGGCUAGGAAGAAGAACAGAUAAUAAUGUGUCUAACCCUUCACUGGGUCCUACCUUUGCAUAAGCAGAUCUGUGCAAACUGUAGGUUGCUGGAAAAUAAGGACACUAUCACAGAAUGUUUAAGGGCACCUUACUACCUCCAAAUUGAGUUGGUAGGACAAUAUCUCAAAAUGUCAGAGGUAUCCAAACAACAACCAGCUGAAGUAAUCACCUCUUGUCUGAUGGAGACUUGUUGGCACAGAUAACCUCUCUACAUGCAGAAUAUUUCAAUAAAUUGUAUGGAAUCCAGUACA